Xiphophorus hellerii (green swordtail) is the source of this 273-nucleotide long non-coding RNA. RefSeq lists it as uncharacterized. The record is from RefSeq and is a predicted model, not a curated record. The transcript is spliced from 4 exons. Lineage: Eukaryota; Metazoa; Chordata; Actinopteri; Cyprinodontiformes; Poeciliidae.
UUUAGGGGCAGUCUCAGAAGAUCCAAACAUUGUCUUAGAGUCGGAAUUUAUAAGCGAUCUUGCCAAUACUCAGGAGACAUACCAGAACCACACAGCAUUAAACAAUACAAUUGAUAACCGGGAGAAUCCUAGGAAGAACCGCUUGUCAUUGAAUAAAAAAAGAACUGACUCUGAAGCUAUCAGAUCAUCACAGCUGGUGAAUACGGCUCUGACACCAUCCGGUUCUGUUCAGACAGGAGUACACAGCAUAACCCGUGAUGAAGACGUAAUUUU